This 483-nucleotide ribosomal RNA is filed under the name uncultured bacterium. RNAcentral describes it as "partial 16S ribosomal RNA". It matches the Rfam family "Bacterial small subunit ribosomal RNA", at positions 29 to 507 of the family's 1533-position model. The record is from RNAcentral.
UUGCACGCUGGCGGCAUGCUUUACACAUGCAAGUCGCACGGCAGCGCGGGCUUCGGCCUGGCGGCGAGUGGCGAACGGGUGAGUAAUGCAUCGGAACGUGCCCAGUAGUGGGGGAUAGCCCGGCGAAAGCCGGAUUAAUACCGCAUACGACCUGAGGGUGAAAGCGGGGGACCGAAAGGCCUCGCGCUAUUGGAGCGGCCGUUGUCGGAUUAGCUAGUUGGUGGGGUAAAGGCUUACCAAGGCGACGAUCCGUAGCUGGUCUGAGAGGACGACCAGCCACACUGGGACUGAGACACGGCCCAGACUCCUACGGGAGGCAGCAGUGGGGAAUUUUGGACAAUGGGGGCAACCCUGAUCCAGCCAUGCCGCGUGCGGGAAGAAGGCCUUCGGGUUGUAAACCGCUUUUGUUCGGGAAGAAAUCCUCUGGGCUAAUACCCCGGGGGGAUGACGGUACCGGAAGAAUAAGCACCGGCUAACUACGUG